Molecule: long non-coding RNA, 1092 nt
Filed under: Jatropha curcas
Lineage: Eukaryota; Viridiplantae; Streptophyta; Magnoliopsida; Malpighiales; Euphorbiaceae
Description: long non-coding RNA (JCUR_LNC000682)
Source: RNAcentral
AGUGAGGCUUAGGAGAUGGUGGUGGUGGAGACUUGUAUUCAUAUGGUGGUGGUGGUGAUGGGGAAGGUGGUGGUGGUGACUUGUACUCAUAAUGAGGCUUAGGAGAUGGUGGUGGUGGUGACUUGUAUUCAUAAUGAGGUUUGGGAGAUGGAGGUGGUGGUGACUUGUCUUCAUAAGGUGGUGGUGGAGACGGAGAUGGUGGUGGGGGAGACUUGUAUUCAUAAGGGGGUGGUGGAGAUGGAGAUGGUGGGGGGGGGGACUUGUAUUCAUAAUGAGGCUUGGGAGAUGGAGGCGGUGGGGACUUGUAUUCAUAAGGCGGUGGUGGAGAUGGAGAUGGUGGGGGGGGGGACUUGUAUUCAUAAUGAGGCUUGGGAGAUGGAGGCGGUGGGGACUUGUAUUCAUAAGGCGGUGGUGGAGAUGGAGAUGGUGGGGGGGGGGACUUGUAUUCAUAAUGAGGCUUGGGAGAUGGAGGCGGUGGGGACUUGUAUUCAUAAGGUGGUGGUGGAGAUGGAGAAGGUGGUGGGGGAGACUUGUACUCAUAAUGAGGCUUGGGAGAUGGAGGCGGUGGGGACUUGUAUUCAUAAGGUGGUGGGGGAGAUGGAGAAGGUGGUGGGGGCGACUUGUACUCAUAAUGAGGUUUAGGAGAUGGAGGUGGUGGUGACUUAUAUUCAUAAGGUGGGGGUGGGGAUGGAGAAGGUGGGGGGGGAGACUUGUACUCAUAAUGAGGUUUAGGAGAUGGAGGUGGUGGUGACUUAUACUCAUAAGGUGGUGGAGGAGAAGGAGAUGGUGGUGGUGGUGACUUAUAUUCAUAAGGUGGUGGUGGGGAUGGAGAAGGUGGUGGGGGAGACUUGUACUCAUAAUGAGGUUUAGGAGAUGGAGGUGGUGGUGACUUAUACUCAUAAGGUGGGGGAGGAGAAGGAGAUGGUGGUGGUGGUGACUUAUAUUCAUAAGGUGGUGGUGGGGAUGGAGAUGGAGGUGGAGGAGACUUGUACUCGUAAUGAGGUUUAGGAGAUGGUGGUGGGGGUGACUUGUACUCAUAAGGAGGUGGUGGAGAAGGAGAAGGUGGAGGUGGUGACUUAUAUUCAUAAUGAG